UAAGUCUCCUGAAGGAACGUUGAAGACGACGACGUUGAUAGGUCGGGUGUGUAAGCGCAGCGAUGCGUUGAGCUAACCGAUACUAAUGAACCGUGAGGCUUAACCUU
Molecule: ribosomal RNA, 107 nt
Filed under: Enterobacter hormaechei
Lineage: Bacteria; Pseudomonadati; Pseudomonadota; Gammaproteobacteria; Enterobacterales; Enterobacteriaceae
Also listed under: 4 other names
Description: partial 23S ribosomal RNA
Rfam family: Bacterial large subunit ribosomal RNA
Source: RNAcentral